Molecule: long non-coding RNA, 730 nt
Filed under: Marmota monax (woodchuck)
Lineage: Eukaryota; Metazoa; Chordata; Mammalia; Rodentia; Sciuridae
Source: RNAcentral
AUUCUAUCUAGAUUAGGGAUUGGCAGACCAUGUUCAGAGGACCAAAUCUUGCCACUGCUUGGGUUUGUGAAUAAAGUUUUACUAAAGUGUAGGCACAGCCUUUCAAUUAUAUACCAUCUAUGGCUGCUUCCACACUGAAAUGACAGAUUUGCAUUGUUGCCAGAGAGACUAUAAGGAUCACAGUCUACAAAUAUUUACUAUCUGGCCUACUACAGAAAAAGUUUGCUGACCUCUGACCCAAUCUUAACAAUCCUCCUUCCUCCUAUGUAAAUACACAGGACAAACUCUCAAAAAUGCUUACCAGGAGAUAGGAGAAUGUUUAUAGUAAGAUCCUUUUAACAGCAAGAUCCUGGAAAGAGCUCAAAUUUUCAUCAAGCAAAAGAAUUGAUAAAACUGGUAUAUGCCUGCAGGGCCCAUUAGACAGCAGUGAAAAUGAAUAGCAGCCAUUCACCUUAGCAUGGAUGAAUCUUACACAAUGUUGAGUAACAAAAUAAAAAAAUACCUUGACAUUUCAUCUGUAGGACAGUUCAAAAAUAAGAUCAAACAAUGGUCAGUGGUGCAUGUUUUCUGAAAGGAGAAAAAAAUUAAGGAAUGAUAAACACAAAAUUCAGGACAGUGGUGACAUACAGGGUGAAAGGAGUGACAUGUAGGAGGCAGACAAAUUUCAACAGUGUGAAUUGCCAUAUUAAGCAAGAGGGUGUAUCCAUGGGAGUUUAUUAUUGUGACUUUA